GCCCAGGUAGCUCAGUCGGUAGAGCGCACCCUUGGUAAGGGUGAGGGCGCCGGUUCGAGUCCGGUCCUGGGCU
This 73-nucleotide transfer RNA is filed under the name Aquifex aeolicus VF5. It matches the Rfam family "tRNA". From Rfam's summary of the family: Transfer RNA (tRNA) molecules are approximately 80 nucleotides in length. Their secondary structure includes four short double-helical elements and three loops (D, anti-codon, and T loops). Further hydrogen bonds mediate the characteristic L-shaped molecular structure. tRNAs have two regions of fundamental functional importance: the anti-codon, which is responsible for specific mRNA codon recognition, and the 3' end, to which the tRNAs corresponding amino acid is attached (by aminoacyl-tRNA synthetases). tRNAs cope with the degeneracy of the genetic code in two manners: having more than one tRNA (with a specific anti-codon) for a particular amino acid; and 'wobble' base-pairing, i.e. permitting non-standard base-pairing at the 3rd anti-codon position. Lineage: Bacteria; Pseudomonadati; Aquificota; Aquificia; Aquificales; Aquificaceae. The record is from Rfam by way of RNAcentral.